Molecule: ribosomal RNA, 362 nt
Filed under: uncultured bacterium
Lineage: Bacteria
Description: bacterial SSU rRNA
Rfam family: Bacterial small subunit ribosomal RNA
Source: RNAcentral
ACUCCUACGGGAGGCAGCAGUGGGAAUAUUGGACAAUGGGCGGAAGCCUGAUCCAGCAAUGCCGCGUGUGUGAAGAAGGCCUGAGGGUUGUAAAGCACUUUCAGUCGUGAGGAAGAUUAGAAGUUUAAGAGAUAUCUAUGAUGACGUUAGCGACAGAAGAAGCACCGGCUAACUCUGUGCCAGCAGCCGCGGUAAUACAGAGGGUGCAAGCGUUAAUCGGAAUGACUGGGCGUAAAGAGCGCGUAGGUGGUUUAAUUAAGUUAGAUGUGAAAGACCCGGGCUUAACCUGGGGUGNCAUUUAAUAACUGGUUGACUUGAGUGCAGGANAGGGAAGGUGGAAUUUCCGGUGUAGCGGUGAAAUG